This 867-nucleotide ribosomal RNA is filed under the name uncultured bacterium. Its description in RNAcentral is "bacterial SSU rRNA". It matches the Rfam family "Bacterial small subunit ribosomal RNA", at positions 99 to 975 of the family's 1533-position model. The record is from RNAcentral.
CGCACGGGUGAGUAACACGUGAGCAACCUGCCCCCGAAUCGGGGAUAGCCCCGGGAAACCGGGAUUAAUACCCGAUACGGUCGGCCGGCCGCAUGGCCGGCGGACCAAAGAUUUUAUCGUUCGGGGAUGGGCUCGCGUCCCAUUAGCUGGUUGGCGGGGCAACGGCCCGCCAAGGCGAAGACGGGUAGGUGGUCUGAGAGGAUGGUCACCCACACUGGGACUGAGACACUGCCCAGACUCCUACGGGAGGCUGCAGUCGAGAAUCUUCCGCAAUGGACGCAAGUCUGACGGAGCGAUGCCGCGUGAGGGAUGACGGCCUUCGGGUUGUAAACCUCUGUCACCGGGGACGAAGAAUUGACGGUACCCGGAGAGGAAGCCACGGCUAACUACGUGCCAGCAGCCGCGGUAAUACGUAGGUGGCGAGCGUUAUUCGGAUUUACUGGGCGUAAAGGGUCCGCAGGGGGUUCGGCAAGUCCGGUGUGAAAGCCCGCGGCUCAACCGCGGAACGGCACUGGAAACUGUCGGGCUUGAGAGCGCGAGAGGAAGGCGGAAUUCCAGGUGUAGCGGUGGAAUGCGUGGAUAUCUGGAAGAACACCGGCGGCGAAGGCGGCCUUCUGGCGCGUUUCUGACCCUGAGGGACGAAGGCGUGGGUAGCGAACAGGAUUAGAUACCCUGGUAGUCCACGCUGUAAACGUUGCGCGCUCGACGCGGGAUGAGCCGUUCCGGCUUUUUCCGUGUCCAAGCCAACGCGUUAAGCGCACCGCCUGGGGACUACGGCCGCAAGGCUAAAACUCAAAGGAGUUGACGGGGGCCCGCACAAGCGGUGGAGCAUGUGGCUUAAUUCGAGGCAACGCGAAGAACCUUACC